Poeciliopsis prolifica (blackstripe livebearer) is the source of this 1686-nucleotide long non-coding RNA. RefSeq lists it as uncharacterized. The record is from RefSeq and is a predicted model, not a curated record. The transcript is spliced from 3 exons. Lineage: Eukaryota; Metazoa; Chordata; Actinopteri; Cyprinodontiformes; Poeciliidae.
CUUAAUUUGAAGAAGGUAAGAGUCAAACUAUUUUCAUCUAAAUCCAUAUAAAAAUAUGUAACUUAAAAUUUCUCUACCAUUUGCACCAUUUUCUACUUGUUCCAUACUUGUGUCACAUUAUUUCAUGUUCUGUAGAUUAAGUCGGUUAGGUUAAGGCAGAUAGCUUUUUGUUUACAUUUAUCGCCGCACCAUGUUAGGUACAUUCUGUGCGAAAAAAACUCUGCAGAGCCAUAUGUAGUGUAAGGGUCACAAAGCUGCUGCCAGAGACACAAAUGGACCCCGGAAAUGUCACAGUUUUGCUCCUCCUGAGCUCCCUGGAGGUUUAGUGGAUUUUUAACACACUGAUCUAACAUCAGUCUAUUUCUAACUAUUUUAAUUCUAUUUCAGUAAUGUUACUAUGGAGGUAAAUGUAGAUACACACACACACUUUGGUACCUUUCUAUCAUCAUCGAGAUUCUUAAUUAAUUAUGGUAAUAAAAAGUCCUACAUUUCAGUCGGUGAAACCUGCAGAAAGCAUUGCUUUCUGAGCUUUGUUAAAUGUUCCUUAAAUAUCUGUUAGUUAUGGAUUUCUAGUAUAUUUUGUCAGGCUAAAACUCUCAAUGGAUUAUCCAUUAUUACAGACUUGAGCUUUCUAUUUUUUUCUUUAAAAUACAUAUUCCUCUGCUGUAAAGAUGUUGGGGUUUUUUGGACUCUUCUUUGUUGUCCCCAAAUAAUUGUAGCUCAGAAACAAUAUUGAAGUUCAUUGGUUUAAUUUUGAAAUGUUGAUGUUUUUUGUGUUGAUUGUUUGUGCUCAUUUUGACCUUUGUUACUAUUGCUUUCUACCAUGUUCAAUUCACCAUUGUUCUGCACAUAUGUGCUUGCAUACAAGUGUCCAGUGGUUAUAUUCAUGAGGCAUUCAAGGGACUUGUACUAAAAGAUACAACUCAGUUCAGUAUGAAUUGCAUAUUUUAAUGGCUGAAAAUAUAUCUGAUCUCUUUCAGAACAUCACCUGUCUGUAAUCCACCUGCGAAGACACUGCUGAGGUCAGAUGAGAGUGCAUCCUCAAAGGUCUGUGUGUACCUAAAUGAAGAUCCAGAGAAGCUGGUGAGGGAGUACAUGGACGUUGAUGAAUGCGCAGAAAUGGCCAAAGCCGAGACUGUCCUCGGAAUCGUCAUUUGAGCAGAGGGUGCAGAGGCUGCCGAUGCACAUCUGGAUGUUGGGAUUGUCCUGGAGGAGGUGGAAGUUAUGAACAGCUUGGGCAGUGUAUCUUCUGCAAUAGUGAUGCUGCUGGGACUAAUCUAUGCACUAAACUUGAGCUACCCUCAAGUUUAGUGCGUUCAGCACUCAACUUGCUCAGUAACUCAAGCAUACCUUUGAAGUAAUACAGAAAAUAAUAAUGAAAUUGGAUGGAAAGAACUUAUCAAAGAAAGCACAAGUUCUCAAUAUGAAACUCGCUGCUAAGUUGAACAAAGUUUCACAUGGAAAAUGAGUGUUUAAAGUCUGCAGUAGAAAAGAUUUAUAUUGUUACAGUUCUCUAAGUUGAGCAACUAUACUGACAUGUUUUAUGUUGUAAAGAAUUGGCUGGGAAAUGAAACUGUAACCUUUUUGUAGUUGUUUUUUUAUUUCAAUGUCCAACUCAGCUGUGUUUUGUGCUGUGUAAAAAAACGAUGUAUAACAAUUCUGAAAAUACAAUUGUGUUGUACCUUU